GUGGUUAAUUCGAUGCAACGCGAAGAACCUUACCUGGUCUUGACAUCCCGGAGACCUUAGGAAACUAGGGGGUGGCUUCCAUCUGGAAGAAUCUGGAGACAGGUGCUGCAUGGCUGUCGUCAGCUCGUGUCGUGAGAUGUUGGGUUAAGUCCCGCAACGAGCGCAACCCUUGCCUUUAGUUGCCAGCAGUUCGGCUGGGCACUCUAAAGGGACUGCCGGUGUUAAACCGGAGGAAGGUGGGGAUGACGUCAAGUCCUCAUGGCCUUUAUGACCAGGGCUACACACGUACUACAAUGGCCGAUACAAAGGGCAGCGACACUGCGAGGUGAAGCCAAUCCCGUAAAAUCGGUCUCAGUCCGGAUUGGAGUCUGCAACUCGACUCCAUGAAGUUGGAAUCGCUAGUAAUCGUGGAUCAGCAUGCCACGGCGAAUACGUUCCCGGGCCUU
RNAcentral lists this ribosomal RNA (446 nucleotides) under uncultured Desulfobulbus sp. RNAcentral's name for it is "bacterial SSU rRNA". It matches the Rfam family "Bacterial small subunit ribosomal RNA", at positions 941 to 1382 of the family's 1533-position model. Lineage: Bacteria; Pseudomonadati; Thermodesulfobacteriota; Desulfobulbia; Desulfobulbales; Desulfobulbaceae. The record is from RNAcentral.